This 307-nucleotide ribosomal RNA is filed under the name Staphylococcus aureus. Its description in RNAcentral is "bacterial SSU rRNA". It matches the Rfam family "Bacterial small subunit ribosomal RNA", at positions 1 to 297 of the family's 1533-position model. The record is from RNAcentral. Lineage: Bacteria; Bacillati; Bacillota; Bacilli; Caryophanales; Staphylococcaceae.
UUUAUGGAGAGUUUGAUCCUGGCUCAGGAUGAACGCUGGCGGCGUGCCUAAUACAUGCAAGUCGAGCGAACGGACGAGAAGCUUGCUUCUCUGAUGUUAGCGGCGGACGGGUGAGUAACACGUGGAUAACCUACCUAUAAGACUGGGAUAACUUCGGGAAACCGGAGCUAAUACCGGAUGAUAUUUUGAACCGCAUGGUUCAAAAGUGAAAGACGGUCUUGCUGUCACUUAUAGAUGGAUCCGCGCUGCAUUAGCUAGUUGGUAAGGUAACGGCUUACCAAGGCAACGAUGCAUAGCCGACCUGAGA